RNAcentral lists this long non-coding RNA (464 nucleotides) under Capra hircus (goat). RNAcentral describes it as "lncRNA (ENSCHIG00000005380.1)". Lineage: Eukaryota; Metazoa; Chordata; Mammalia; Artiodactyla; Bovidae. The record is from RNAcentral.
AAUGAUCCUUUAAACUUUGCUGAUACUAAAGCAAACAGUAAAUUUCUGUUGAACUGGAAAAUGAUUUAAUCCAGUGACAUGCAAGCAAGUCUAACGACAUCUACUUGAAGGACAAAAUGCAGAUUAAUAGUCCCAUAACUUCAAGCGCUCCUAUUUCCUGGACUGUGAAAACAGAAGCACAUGCAUCGGGUUGCGUCUCAACUAAACAGGUACUGGGUCUCACUUCCUUUAAUCCUUAUGGCUGUGCCAGGAGCAACUCUAGGCAUCCCCAGCAGAGACUCACAGUGAUGUAGACGGUAACUGCCGUGGCUGUGUCAUGGUGAAGGCCUUUCCCUCUGGGUAGCAGCUCUACCAGUGAAGGCUCAGCCUACUUCCAGAAAGUUCUGUCACUUGCAAUUAGGAAGAACCCAGGUCUGCUUGUUUUAAAAUGUCGAUCUCACCUCUAUUUCAAGCUCUAUUCUUCU